This 467-nucleotide ribosomal RNA is filed under the name uncultured bacterium. RNAcentral's name for it is "partial 16S ribosomal RNA". It matches the Rfam family "Bacterial small subunit ribosomal RNA", at positions 29 to 507 of the family's 1533-position model. The record is from RNAcentral.
ACGCACGCUGGCGGCGUGCUUAACACAUGCCAGUCGCACGGAAAGGCCCUGCUUUUGUGGGGUGCUCGAGUGGCGAACGGGUGAGUAACACGUGAGUAACCUGCCCUUGACUUUGGGAUAACUUCAGGAAACUGGGGCUAAUACCGGAUAGGAGCUCCUGCUGCAUGGUGGGGGUUGGAAAGUUUCGGCGGUUGGGGAUGGACUCGCGGCUUAUCAGCUUGUUGGUGGGGUAGUGGCUUACCAAGGCUUUGACGGGUAGCCGGCCUGAGAGGGUGACCGGCCACAUUGGGACUGAGAUACGGCCCAGACUCCUACGGGAGGCAGCAGUGGGGAAUAUUGCACAAUGGGCGGAAGCCUGAUGUAGCAACGCCGCGUGCGGGAUGACGGCCUUCGGGUUGUAAACCGCUUUCGCCUGUGACGAAGCGUGAGUGACGGUAAUGGGUAAAGAAGCACCGGCUAACUACGUG